RNAcentral lists this ribosomal RNA (464 nucleotides) under Vreelandella stevensii. Its description in RNAcentral is "partial 16S ribosomal RNA". It matches the Rfam family "Bacterial small subunit ribosomal RNA", at positions 338 to 795 of the family's 1533-position model. Lineage: Bacteria; Pseudomonadati; Pseudomonadota; Gammaproteobacteria; Oceanospirillales; Halomonadaceae. The record is from RNAcentral.
CCUACGGGGCGCUGCAGUGGGGAAUAUUGGACAAUGGGCGAAAGCCUGAUCCAGCCAUGCCGCGUGUGUGAAGAAGGCCUUCGGGUUGUAAAGCACUUUCAGUGGGGAAGAAAGCCUUGGGGCUAAUACCCUCGAGGAAGGACAUCACCCACAGAAGAAGCACCGGCUAACUCCGUGCCAGCAGCCGCGGUAAUACGGAGGGUGCGAGCGUUAAUCGGAAUUACUGGGCGUAAAGCGCGCGUAGGCGGUCUGAUAAGCCGGUUGUGAAAGCCCCGGGCUCAACCUGGGAACGGCAUCCGGAACUGUCAGGCUAGAGUGCAGGAGAGGAAGGUAGAAUUCCCGGUGUAGCGGUGAAAUGCGUAGAGAUCGGGAGGAAUACCAGUGGCGAAGGCGGCCUUCUGGACUGACACUGACGCUGAGGUGCGAAAGCGUGGGUAGCAAACAGGAUUAGAUACCUUGUAGUC